AUUCAGCUGACGAAUCCCAAAUAGGACGAAACGUGCGUCCUAGUU
This 45-nucleotide non-coding RNA is filed under the name Schistosoma mansoni. The record is from RNAcentral. Lineage: Eukaryota; Metazoa; Platyhelminthes; Trematoda; Strigeidida; Schistosomatidae.